AAGCUCUGUGGUGUAGCGGCACACUAGAUUGCAAACCUAAUAGAGCAGGCUAACGCCUGCCGGAGCUUA
RNAcentral lists this transfer RNA (69 nucleotides) under Scuticaria tigrina (spotted snake moray). RNAcentral describes it as "tRNA-Cys". The record is from RNAcentral. Lineage: Eukaryota; Metazoa; Chordata; Actinopteri; Anguilliformes; Muraenidae.